Molecule: ribosomal RNA, 356 nt
Filed under: uncultured Glomeromycotina
Lineage: Eukaryota; Fungi; Glomeromycota
Description: SSU rRNA
Rfam family: Eukaryotic small subunit ribosomal RNA
Source: RNAcentral
AGCAGCCGCGGUAAUUCCAGCUCCAAUAGCGUAUAUUAAAGUUGUUGCAGUUAAAAAGCUCGUAGUUGAAUUUCGGGAUCAAUAUGCUGGUCGUGCCAUUGGUACGUACUAGUAUUAAUUGGUUUCUCCCUUCUGAUGAAUCAUGAUGUCAUUAAUUUGAUGUCAUGUGGAAUCAGGACUGUUACUUUGAAAAAUUAGAGUGUUUAAAGCAGGCUCGCGCUUGAAUACAUUAGCAUGGAAUAAUGAAAUAGGACGUUUGAUUCUAUUUUGUUGGUUUCUAGGAUCGACGUAAUGAUUAAUAGGGAUAGUUGGGGGCAUUAGUAUUCAAUUGUCAGAGGUGAAAUUCUUGGAUUUAU